GAUGAACGCUGGCGGCGUCCCUAAUACAUGCAAGUAGAACGCUGAAGCUUGGUGCUUGCACCGAGCGGAUGAGUUGCGAACGGGUGAGUAACGCGUAGGUAACCUGCCUCUUAGCGGGGGAUAACUAUUGGAAACGAUAGCUAAUACCGCAUAAAAGUCGAUAUCGCAUGAUAUUGAUUUGAAAGGUGCAAAUGCAUCACUAAGAGAUGGACCUGCGUUGUAUUAGCUAGUUGGUGAGGUAACGGCUCACCAAGGCGACGAUACAUAGCCGACCUGAGAGGGUGAUCGGCCACACUGGGACUGAGACACGGCCCAGACUCCUACGGGAGGCAGCAGUAGGGAAUCUUCGGCAAUGGGGGCAACCCUGACCGAGCAACGCCGCGUGAGUGAAGAAGGUUUUCGGAUCGUAAAGCUCUGUUGUAAGAGAAGAACGAGUGUGAGAGUGGAAAGUUCACACUGUGACGGUAACUUACCAGAAAGGGACGGCUAACUACGUG
Molecule: ribosomal RNA, 497 nt
Filed under: uncultured bacterium
Lineage: Bacteria
Description: partial 16S ribosomal RNA
Rfam family: Bacterial small subunit ribosomal RNA
Source: RNAcentral